AUUUUCCUAGGUUUAUUGGAAGCAUGAACAGUGGGAUUGACAUUGAGACUACUACGAUAUGACAAAAGGCUGAAGACCAAGACCAAGAGCUUUCGGCACCAUGCAUGGGAGGCCCAAUCUGGGGGACACAAAAUAUUGCUGUCUGUGAGGUGUUGGGUUCCUUUCAUUUCAUACCUGCAUCGUCAAACCUGCUCAGCACUUGCAAAUUGCAA
This 212-nucleotide long non-coding RNA is filed under the name Populus trichocarpa (black cottonwood). RNAcentral's name for it is "long non-coding RNA (PTRI_LNC003484)". The record is from RNAcentral. Lineage: Eukaryota; Viridiplantae; Streptophyta; Magnoliopsida; Malpighiales; Salicaceae.